RNAcentral lists this ribosomal RNA (500 nucleotides) under uncultured Glomeromycotina. Its description in RNAcentral is "partial small subunit ribosomal RNA". It matches the Rfam family "Eukaryotic small subunit ribosomal RNA", at positions 591 to 1092 of the family's 1831-position model. Lineage: Eukaryota; Fungi; Glomeromycota. The record is from RNAcentral.
CCAAUAGCGUAUAUUAAAGUUGUUGCAGUUAAAAAGCUCGUAGUUGAAUUUCGGGAUUAGUAAGUUGGUCGUGCCUCUGGUAUGUACUGGCUUUACUGGUUCCUCCUUCUUGAAGAACUGUAAUGUCAUUAAUUUGGUGUUGCAGGGAAACAGGACUGUUACUUUGAAAAAAUUAGAGUGUUUAAAGCAGGCUAACGCUUGAAUACAUUAGCAUGGAAUAAUGAAAUAGGACGUUUGAUCCUAUUUUGUUGGUUUCUAGGAUUGACGUAAUGAUUAAUAGGGAUAGUUGGGGGCAUUAGUAUUCAAUUGUCAGAGGUGAAAUUCUUGGAUUUACUGAAGACUAACUACUGCGAAAGCAUUUGCCAAGGAUGUUUUCAUUAAUCAAGAACGAAAGUUAGGGGAUCGAAGACGAUCAGAUACCGUCGUAGUCUUAACCAUAAACUAUGCCGACUAGGGAUCGGAUGAUGUUAAUUUUUUAAUGACUCAUUCGGCGCCUUACG